AGCGAACGCUGGCGGCAGGCCUAACACAUGCAAGUCGAACGAACCUUUCGGGGUUAGUGGCGGACGGGUGAGUAACACGUGGGAACGUGCCUUUAGGUUCGGAAUAACUCAGGGAAACUUGUGCUAAUACCGAAUGUGCCCUUCGGGGGAAAGAUUAAUCGCCUUUAGAGCGGCCCGCGUCUGAUUAGCUAGUUGGUUGAGGUAAUGGCUCACCAAGGCGACGAUCAGUAGCUGGUCUGAGAGGAUGAUCAGCCACAUUGGGACUGAGACACGGCACAAACUCCGACGGGAGGCAGCAGUGGGGAAGCUUGCGCAAUGGGCGAAAGCCUGACGCAGCCAUGCCGCGUGAAUGAUGAAGGUGUUAGGAUUGUAAAAUUCUUUCACCGGGGACGAUAAUGACGGUACCCGGAGAAGAAGCCCCGGCUAACUUCGUG
RNAcentral lists this ribosomal RNA (434 nucleotides) under uncultured bacterium. Its description in RNAcentral is "partial 16S ribosomal RNA". It matches the Rfam family "Bacterial small subunit ribosomal RNA", at positions 29 to 507 of the family's 1533-position model. The record is from RNAcentral.